GGGUGCGAUCACCCUGGGAAGUCCUCGUGUUGCACCCCUC
RNAcentral lists this ribosomal RNA (40 nucleotides) under Gossypium arboreum x Gossypium thurberi. The record is from RNAcentral. Lineage: Eukaryota; Viridiplantae; Streptophyta; Magnoliopsida; Malvales; Malvaceae.